This 2353-nucleotide long non-coding RNA is filed under the name Leguminivora glycinivorella. Its description in RNAcentral is "uncharacterized LOC125234522". The record is from RNAcentral. Lineage: Eukaryota; Metazoa; Arthropoda; Insecta; Lepidoptera; Tortricidae.
UGGAAAUCUUGGGACAUUUUUUUUCUCCUAUCAGGAUCGAAAGAGCUGGCGAUUCUAGUAUGAAUCGCGUAAAAAAUACCCAGUAGGGUGAACAACUUUGAAAAAAAAAAAAAAUGGGCCAUUCGCUCCUUUUUUGGCAACUGCCUUAGAACAGGUGUAGGAACAGUCAGCAGCUGGUUGUUAAUCGAGCCAGAAUUGCAAAAUAAGAUACGGCUUUCUUUACACAAGGGUAUUCGUGUUUUAUUCAGGUACGACAUAGGCCCUUUAUCCGUCUGAAAUUUCAAAUAGAAAUUCUGAUGAAAAGGUCCUUUUUGCAUAUGACAGAAGCAUAAAUACACUGUAGUAGCAUAGCUAUGUAUUAUAUUAUAAAAAAUACAAUUGUGUACAUUUCCGUAUAUUGCAGGGCACAUAUUUGUGUGGCAAAACGAACUUUCUCUUAACGACCACUGCUGCUGACUACGAACGUAGAACGUUUUAACGGAUUUUCGUUGGAUUGUUCAAUAUUUGCUAGCUCGUAAGGUAGUCGACUAGUAGUAUUUUUAUACGUAAUUCAUACUUUCUUAAUAAUUAAUUCUUUCUAUGGUCAUUCGGCUUUUACAAAUUUUUCAAUGUUGUAAAUGGAAAAAUGUUGUAAAAUAAGGGUUACUUUGGUACCUUUUUGGUACGGAACCCUAAAAACGAAGGACUAAAAAAUUGUAAUUUAAAAUUGUAUUUAUAUAUGUCUUUCCGGCUCAAUAUAAAAGUUUCGGUUUGACUUGUAGCCAUGUAUCUUAUUUAAUUGUCUACAAAGGGUUAUUGAUUGUAAAAGAUGUGAAUUAAGUAAUAACAGCAGUACAAAUAAAAAACAAAAAAAUAGCUAUCGAACCUGUUGACAUAAUUUCUUGAGAAUAUUCUAAAAGAGAUUUCUGGAUCAUUUUUCACCAGAUGGCGAUAUUGAGUUGAGCCUGAGAUGAUUCAGUUUCUGACAACAAACUUAAAAAUCUAUUAAAUCAUAAAUGACGAUUUAAUGCGAUUCGUGGCGUUUGGUGGAUAGUUAUCAAUUUAUCAUUAUCGUAUAUCGUAUCGCAUCUACAUUAGCUGGCAAUGUAAAGCACGAAGUUGUCUUAGGUUUUAUUUGUAACAACAUAAACACAUUUAUUACACACUUCUAAUACAAUCAAUAAAUCUUUGAAAUAUAUAAAUAAUAACAAACUAUUUAUUUAUCUCGUGUGUUUAAUUAUAACGAUUUGGAUAGUGAUUAUUUUUUUAUGUAAUGCAUUGUAAUUUUGUACCGCCUAAAUUAUAGUCAAAAUAAAAUUGUAACCCUUAUUUAACUUUAGUUGUCUAAAUGUAAAUAUUAUUUAAAAUUGUUAUUUUCUUUAAACAAACGUAUGAUAAAUACGUAAUUAUUUAACAUUACUUUUAUAAAUAAGAUUAAUAUUUUAACAUAUAGGGUGGCAUAAUGGUUGGUCCUAGUUACCCUGUUCAAUGUAUUGGACAAUGUCGGAUUAACUCAUCGUAUGCUUAUGCACGGAUCCGUGCGUAAAAUUGUUUGCUCUACAUGGCAUAGCCGUGGGUUCCAACCCACGAUUUUUGACCCAUCCGCACACGAGGGGUUAAGGGCCCAUUUACACUUAUUUAGCCACCGUUGCUGCAGUUAAGUUGAGCCAACUCGGUGCGCGGCUAAUACGCUACCAAGAGUGAAAAAAACUGGCCACUUUUACGUAGACUCUUUUGUCUACAUGGUGACCCAUUUUAAUAUCCUUUCAACCUCAUGAUUAGGGCGUUUUUCCCGGGUAGCCAGAUCAAGCAAAAUUGACAGCGAUUUGGGUAGCACUGUCCCUGUUAAUUAUUUUACCUCUCAUAGUUUUAUAGAAGUUUAAAACACCGCGCAUUCUGUGCUCUCAAAAUCGCUGCCAGCUUAGCUUGGUCCGACUCUAGCCGCAGACUGUUGGUAACAGACUGCGAUAAUCCGACAAAGUUAAAAAGCCCAAGUAGGUACGGAAAUCAUUUGACAUAAACGGGUUUUGUACUUUCACCGGGGACUAUGGUGAACUUUACCUACUAUUUGCAGUUAGCUACGGAAGUAUCUUAACAUCUACCUGUGAAAAGAAAAGUGUAUUAAUUCUGCCACGUGAUUUGAAAUCUUAAUGAGUCAUAUAAUUUAGAAGGCUUUGCCGUAUAAGAUAUUUCAUAACGUAUGGUCACAAGACUAGAGAUAACGGUACCCCACGCAAGCAAGUUGCCAUAUAGGGAGAUCAGUUAUCUCUGUAGAAUAGAGGUGCCUUAAUGCCCGGUUAGAGUACGAUCUAUUGGUAGCAGUCACCAAGAAUAAUGUACACUUGACUACCUAAAUAAACUAUCCAAACAUAAA